Molecule: ribosomal RNA, 328 nt
Filed under: uncultured eukaryote
Lineage: Eukaryota
Description: partial 18S ribosomal RNA
Rfam family: Eukaryotic small subunit ribosomal RNA
Source: RNAcentral
CCCUUAGAUGUUCUGGGCCGCACGCGCGCUACACUGACUACUUCAACGAGUUGUUUCCUUGAUCGAAAGGUCUGGGUAAUCUUCGAAAGGUAGUCGUGAUGGGGAUAGAUCCUUGCAAUUUUUGAUCUUCAACGAGGAAUUCCUAGUAAACGCAAGUCAUCAGCUUGCAUUGAUUACGUCCCUGCCCUUUGUACACACCGCCCGUCGCACCUACCGAUUGAAUGGUCCGGUGAAUCUUUAGGACUGUGGCUGAGGCCUUGCCUUGUGCGGGUCUGGCCGUGGGAAUUUAGUUAAACCUUACCAUUUAGAGGAAGGUGAAGUCGUAACA